CCCAAAUUAAUAGCGGCGACGUGUAUAACCAAUAGCGGCGACAUGUUGUCGCCCCUAUUGGCCCGACGAAUAAAGAAGGAAUCAGCGCCAUUUCUUCCCUCCACCUACUUUCCCCCAAAUCUUUUCACCUCCCUCUCUCCGGUUAGCGAAAAGUCGGCAUAAUCUCUCUAAAAUCGGCAUAAUCGCUUCUCCACCGGCACCACCUUGUCUCCACGGCCACCACCGGCACCACCUCGUCUCCUCGGCCACCACCGUCACCACCUCUUCUUCUCGUGCAAAAUAAGCACUAACGUCAGGGGAGGAGCUAAAGGGGGAGCACGGGCUACCCUCAACUCUGUUUCCGUAGUGUAAAAAUACCCUCUCAACCGCCGAACGAGGCUGCCAUGUUUCAAAACGUUUUGGGUGAUUGACGAGGAUGGUUCCGGGGGCUUGGGGCUAAACCUUCGAAUACGCCAUCGAACCGGUUUAGUGCGCAACCUCAAGCCGCACAACCCUUUUCGGAGGAAUACGUUUCGACUUUGUUCCAAAGUCCGGCAUUCGUAAACCAACUUGAAUCCUUUCUUGCGGCGAGGGGAAAGCAAGUCGCACCCGACGAUGAGUAUGACGAUGACGACCUAACUUGAAUCCUUCUUUGCGGAUUAGAAUGUUAUUUUUCGGAUAUUUUAGGAUGUUAUUGUACGGAAAUGUUUUAUGCGAUUUUAGUAUGUAAAGCAUUAUGUUUGUUCA
Long non-coding RNA from Helianthus annuus (common sunflower), 726 nucleotides. RefSeq lists it as uncharacterized. The transcript is spliced from 4 exons. NCBI's taxonomy places the organism in Eukaryota, Viridiplantae, Streptophyta, Magnoliopsida, Asterales, Asteraceae. The record is from RefSeq and is a predicted model, not a curated record.